Molecule: ribosomal RNA, 356 nt
Filed under: uncultured bacterium
Lineage: Bacteria
Description: bacterial SSU rRNA
Rfam family: Bacterial small subunit ribosomal RNA
Source: RNAcentral
GUGAGUAGUUCAGAGUUUGAUCCUGGCUCAGGAUGAACGCUGGCGGCGUGCUUAACACAUGCAAGUCGAACGGAGCACUUUAGAAAGAGGAUUCGUCCAAUUGAUAAAGUUGCUUAGUGGCGGACGGGUGAGUAACGCGUGAGGAACCUGCCUCGGAGUGGGGAAUAACAGUUAGAAAUGACUGCUAAUACCGCAUAAUACAGUUGAGUCGCAUGGCUCUGACUGUCAAAGAUUUAUCGCUCUGAGAUGGCCUCGCGUCUGAUUAGCUAGUUGGUGGGGUAACGGCCCACCAAGGCGACGAUCAGUAGCCGGACUGAGAGGUUGACCGGCCACAUUGGGACUGAGACACGGCCCAG